UAGGGAAUCUUCGGCAAUGGACGACAGUCUGACCGAGCAACGCCGCGUGAGUGAAGAAGGUUUUCGGAUCGUAAAACUCUGUUGUUAGAGAAGAACAAGGACGUUAGUAACUGAACGUCCCCUGACGGUAUCUAACCAGAAAGCCACGGCUAACUACGUGCCAGCAGCCGCGGUAAUACGUAGGUGGCAAGCGUUGUCCGGCUUUAUUGGGCGUAAAGCGAGCGCAGGCGGUUUCUUAAGUCUGAUGUGAAAGCCCCCGGCUCAACCGGGGAGGGUCAUUGGAAACUGGGGGACAUGAGUGCAGAAGAGGAGAGUGGAAUUCCAUGUGUAGCGGUGAAAUGCGUAGAUAUAUGGAGGAACGCCAGUGGCGAAGGCGGCUCUCUGGUCUGAAACUGACGCUGAGGCUCGAAAGCGUGGGGAGCAAACAGG
RNAcentral lists this ribosomal RNA (429 nucleotides) under Gemmatimonadota bacterium. RNAcentral describes it as "Gemmatimonadetes bacterium partial 16S ribosomal RNA". It matches the Rfam family "Bacterial small subunit ribosomal RNA", at positions 355 to 776 of the family's 1533-position model. The record is from RNAcentral. Lineage: Bacteria; Pseudomonadati; Gemmatimonadota.